GUGGGGAAUAUUGGACAAUGGGCGCAAGCCUGAUCCAGCCAUGCCGCGUGAGUGAUGAAGGCCCUAGGGUUGUAAAGCUCUUUCACCGGUGAAGAUAAUGACGGUAACCGGAGAAGAAGCCCCGGCUAACUUCGUGCCAGCAGCCGCGGUAAUACGAAGGGGGCUAGCGUUGUUCGGAAUUACUGGGCGUAAAGCGCACGUAGGCGGGUAUUUAAGUCAGGGGUGAAAUCCCAGAGCUCAACUCUGGAACUGCCUUUGAUACUGGGUACCUAGAGUAUGGAAGAGGUAAGUGGAAUUCCGAGUGUAGAGGUGAAAUUCGUAGAUAUUCGGAGGAACACCAGUGGCGAAGGCGGCUUACUGGUCCAUUACUGACGCUGAGGUGCGAAAGCGUGGGGAGCAAACAGGAUUAGAAACCCUGGUAGUCC
Molecule: ribosomal RNA, 425 nt
Filed under: uncultured bacterium
Lineage: Bacteria
Description: partial 16S ribosomal RNA
Rfam family: Bacterial small subunit ribosomal RNA
Source: RNAcentral